GCAGCCCCGUCUCCGUCCCCCGGAGCCCUCCCCUAUGGGGGCGACCUCAGCGGCCUCGCUGCUCCUCCUCCUCCCUCCUGGCGGCUGGCAUCAGCCAAAAUGAACAAUGGCCUUUCAGAAAUACUCUGGAAAGGAGCAGGACACCCCAGAAAAGGCUGCAGCAGUAAUAUCUACUAUGCAUCAAAGAAUUCAGGCACAGAGGACAUCUUGAAGCACAGGUGCAUAGAAAUCAGAUUUCUUUGUUACAACUACUUAUUUGCUCUGCUUGAUUUUAUGUGAGAUUUUUUUUCUGUUUAAAAUGUAUAUUAAAUAAGAAGACAGACUCAGCAGCGUAACAGCCUAUCUUAUAAUUCCUUCUUUCUCUAAGGUAUUAUUGUUAAAAUAUGUCUAUCAUCAGUUUCCACUGGAAGUUCUUUAGCUUCAGAAGGAGGGAGUAAUUUAUCACGUGCUUGUAAAGCAGCCAGCUUGCCUUUCCUGGGCAGAUCCUGGCACAACAGUUGUUUAAGGAGCAGUAAGUAGUUCACUGAGUAACACAGAAAAUGCUUUCAUUUCUGAAACAAACAAUUUGGAGCCAUUUUUGUGGCGUCAUAUAAGCUCAGAAUAAUUGAGUUACUUGCCUAUGUCCGGGGUCAUUUUUGGGAAUAAACAUACACAGUGACUGCCAGUGCAGUUCAUGAAACUCACAGCUGUAUUAACGCAGGUAGCAGUGUCAGUCAUCUCUUGAGCAAGUGUAUGAUGGAAACUGUGCCCAGAAUACCCACGAUCACAGGGUCUAUUCUGGCAUCAGGUCAUACUAGAGGCUUUGAGAGACAAAAAAAAAAACAAAAAAAAAAACACUUGAGAGAGGCCCGCUACACGAAGCAGUAACUCCUGGGUAUACAAGCAAGGAUAUAAGUCCUGGGUAUACAAGGACUUUGGUACAAAUGCCAUGCUCAAACUCAUGGUCCCUUCCAGGCAGGCCCACAACUACAAGACCUCAGGUGUUUAAAUUAGGAUCUUCUGGGCUGCUAUUGCUGAAAUACAGAUUUUAAACUUGGCAUUGUGUUAGUGGUAAGCUGUCUUCUGUAUUGAAACACCUUGUGUGCCCUGAAGAAAAUUGUAGGCCAUAGAGGACCUUAUAUAGUAUGUGUAAAAUGCAGAAAAACAUGGAUACAUUAUCUUUUUCAAUGAAGUAUCCACUUCACAUACAGCUUUGCAGAAUGUCAAAAAAGUGGUUUUCAAAUGGAGCUGAAACAGGAAAUGCAUGAAAAUAAAUGGUGAUGUUUUUUCACUUUAUAGUUCUAUUUCCUCUAGUUUGCCUUAAUUUUUAUGAAUACAUAGCUGUAUAAAUGUAAGUAUAGGUUUUCUUUAUGCAUAAAUGUAUGCAAUAUGUGUUUUGGACAAUAAAUUUUACACAGUGAUAUGUUUAAAUCACAGAUUAUAUUUGCUGUACUAGUGCACUAGUACACAUUGUGUAGUAUGAUAUAUAACACAGUGAAAAUGGAUGUAUUCUGUGUAUAUAUAAUAAGUAUUUACACAUUGGCAUGUCUAUAUAGAAAUAGUAGAAAACAUUAGAAUAUUUACUGUUACAGAAUACUACCCAUAUUCCAUAUAUAUGUAUGUGCCCCAAGCAGUUUGCAUGCCUCUUUGGAGCAGCCUCUCUAGGAAAGGUCCGUGCAUCUUAAUUGACCUAUUGUUGCUGUACGCUUGAUCACAUUUCUGCAGUCUGAGGCAGAGACUGAACACAAGCUAACUGCAAUUAAAGCAGUGUGUGAUUCUGGCCCACAGCCUGCACAAGUUUGGAUACAGCUCAGUGUCCUGCUUAAUGUGACAAAAAGCUGCAGUUUGCCCUUAGACUAAAGGUUGAAGUAUGAUUUUAUUUUUUAUGCAGCUCCUGUUUUCACCGGCACCAAGUUUUUAAAGCAAGUGCUCCCCUCUGAGUGUUACAGGAGGGCUCUGAAGUGAGUAAGGUCCCUGAUGUAGAUAAAAAAAGCUCUGUCACUGUCCUACACCCUUCCAGUCUCUGAGAACCUUCAGUGUAGGCAGCCCAUUAUUCAAAGUAAGAAUGUUCACAACCACACUCUAAGGGUAAGAAUUAAAAAUGUAGUAGUGAUAGUGAUUAAUAAUUCAAGUGUGAAUUUCAAGAAGCUAGCAAAGGUUCCAAGCACUGUAUACAUGUGUGUUUGUUUAUGUGUGGAGGGUGAUGUUGUCUGUGUAUGUUUCAGUGAUCAAUUUGAAAAAAUUAAGUAAAAUUACCUACGUAUUGUAUAUGUGAAAAGAAGUUACAUAUUUGGUUAUUCAUUCCACAUCCGUUUGACAGUGAGAUAGACUUUGGGAUACUGCAUCUUAUGUACUCUCCUCUCUGAAUUUACAACAACUUGAGAUCCUUUUAGUGAUUUUAAUGGAAUUUGUUUUUAAGAAAUAUUUUUCUCUGGAGAAAGAAAAAAAUUAAUGCUGCUGAUAUUGAAUACUUGAUAUUAUCUAUGUGAAUCUAUCAAAUAAUCAUUUGGGUAAGUCUUCUACUGGAUUAGCCUAUUUACCCCCAUUACCAUUUGUCCUGCAGCUUCAUUUGAAUGCAAAAUUUUGGUUUACUCUGCUAUCUCACCAGUUAUGUCUUCUAAUCACAGUCCAGACCUAAAGGGUCUUAGUAUCACUGUUCUUGGUGUCACUAGUGUUUGUAUGAUUACAUGAUGAUUACAUGCUUUUUCUAACUGAUUUUUGUUCCAUGCACACACUGUUCAAACUGCUUUCAUGCAUAGGCAAGCUGGCAUGGCUCUUGUGCUCAUUUCCAGCAAAUAUUCAGCAUUGUCAUUAAAACCAUGUUGGUAAUUCACUUCAGCCACCUUCUGUAAGCUUUAUAUCAACCACUAGUCAUUGUCAGCCUGUGUCCCAUUGCAUUCUCACUCAUGAACACAGAAAGCCCAUCCACUAACAUAAAAUUUUAAUCCUAGUUUUGCUAUGUGAAUCCUAGUUUUGCUAUGCUAUUGUUAAACAGAUAGAUGCACUUCAUUUUGUGUAUGUGUGAAAAAUUCGACUAGAAUUAGAUAUUGCAGAAUUCUAAUGAUAAAAUAUAGCCAAAGUACAUCUUUCUGCUGAGAUCAAUUUUCUUUAUAAGCAUCAAACACAUCUAUUCAAGGCCCAAUAAAAUUCUUUUCUUUUACAGCUCCUGGGGAUAGAGAACACAGCACAUUGUAACAACAGCAAUAGACUCAGCCGUGAGAGAUCUUUAUCAGGCAUCACAAAGAAUUUGAGGCAGCUGGCAGUUAUCAGCUGAAACAGAAACUAGAAAUCAUUCCAUACAUUUACAAUGAAAGACCAAAAAACAAGUCAAAUUCAUCAAAUGUUUCCAGAGUGCUAGCUACCAAUAUUAAAGUAAGUUCCAAUUUUCUUUAGGAAUGCAACAUACUUUCACAACCCAUUAAGAAAAUUUAAAUGUGCUCAUUACGUAAAUAAUUUGUGGCCUUGAAAACUAACCAAAUUGCAUGUUUUUAGUGCACUAUUUUAAUGUGUUCUUCUGCUGAGCAUGAAUUAAUUGUGUGCUUCUGUAAAUUUCAGCUCUAAGUGGUGAUUGCUUAGAAUACUUUGUCAUUUUUUAUCUUACUCAAUGGCUGCUAAAAUAAUAAUGUAAAUGAAAUAAUGUAAUGAUGAACUUUCAAAACUUACAAGUCUAAUGCUUCAAUCUUUCUCUGUGCUAUGAUCCAGAUUGAAGAGGAAAAAUUACCUUUUUUUUUUUUUUUUGACAGACUAUGCAGCUAUCCGAGGUGGAGCCAUCUCUGUAGGAGAUAUAAAUAGAGGAAAGUCUUAGAGUCUCCUGUUCAUAUUCCCUAAUUGUGCAUAAAAAGGGUCAUCCCUCACUAGCUUGUGGUGGUCAAAAGUGAAUUCAGUGCUCUGAAGAUGAAGAGAUGAAGAUGCCUGUUCUGCAUAGGUACAUGAACUAACUGUUCAAACAAACACCGUGGUGUAGUGUACCCAAAGACACUUGCUGUCCUGCCAGUGGAAAGUGAAAGGCAUCCCACUUAGAUAUUCUUUAUUUCCUCUUUGAGGCAUUUAACCCACUGACUGUGUGAUGGCUGGGAUAUCUAAAGGAACAAGUCUGAAUCAUCCUGUCAGGUAGAUGUUUUAACACUGGCAGCUACCACAGUCUGAAUAUUACCCUGAAUAAUAUCAAUAGGUUGGUCUGUAGAAAUACAAUACUUUUCUCAAGCUAACAUGAAAAAUCAGAACCUAUUGACUGUGCAAUUAAUUUUCCAUACUUUCCUUCAUUGCGUUGAAAGCAUUGGACUACAUGUUCAAAAACAUGCAUGAAGAGCUUUUAGUUAUUGUCUUUAUGUUUUGGUAAAAUUAAGCUUUAUUUUGCAGCUCUCCUCUGGGAUAGUAACAUAUUACCCAAGCGUGUAAAACCUAACAGUAAAUAUUAUAUUUUGAUGAGUGUUUUUGCAUGGUUCAGAAGUAAAACUCCUCAACAUAUCUUGUAUUUUAUUCUUUACCGAUUACAUCAAAAAUAUAGUUGUGCAAUUUAUUGUCUCCAGGUAGUUUCUGUCAUUCCUGUGUAGAGCUACAGUAGACAAUCCUGUAUAAGAACUUAUAAUUUAUAGAAAUUUAUUUUUCUGUGGGUCAUGAGACUGAGAUAUUUUCUGUUAUCUUGGAAUUGUAUUGCUAUGUCACAAAAUCAGUAAUAAAUUAUUUUUUCAUAUUA
Long non-coding RNA from Centrocercus urophasianus (Greater sage-grouse), 4675 nucleotides. RefSeq lists it as uncharacterized. The transcript is spliced from 3 exons. The record is from RefSeq and is a predicted model, not a curated record. Lineage: Eukaryota; Metazoa; Chordata; Aves; Galliformes; Phasianidae.